UUGCUUUUGUGUUUUCGGUUUUGAAGGAAAAUAGAUCAAAACUAAACUAUCAACAAUGUGUAGAACAGAUCACAAAAGAACGAUAAUAACAAUAAGUACAACAACAAGAAUAUCUAUCAACAGGUAUAUAGAGUUUAGUUUAAAGCACAAACAGCAAUUCAUACCUCUCGAUUUCCGCUAUCCUGGCAAGCAAAUAACAACAAAUUUCAUUUUGUGUUUGCGCGGUAUUCGAUCAAAAACAAACAAGCGUUAAUUUGUAAUUACAAAAUGUCGUUGGGUGUUAAAAAUAAAGGCGCAAAUCAAAAGGGCAGCAAAAUAAAAAAAAAAAAAUCUAAUUGAAAUACCACAAUAUCAAUACACAAUUAUACGGGCCGCCCACAUAACUAAAAUGGAGGGAGGAAUGGAAUCGAAACGCAAAACGUAGCCUGGGCCUGGGUAGCCGUUGAAGCUCUACAAAUUCACUUUCCAUUGGCUGUUCUGAUAGCCUGUCUGUCUGCCUGUUUGCCUGCCCGCCUGUAACUUACCUUCUUGAAAUGCAUCAACGUAUCCGAGCUGUUCUCGCACAUUUCCGUAAUGAGCGUUACGCCGGUAAUGAGGAUGCCUGGAAAAAUACAUGAUAGUUAAUACAGAUAUGAUUGGAUAAGUAUAGCAUUUCAAUCUAACCGUGAUUCUUUUCGCUGAGCAGCGAACGUGUGGCCGGCAGAAAGAUCUCCAUCAGUUCGGGCACACGGCGUAUGACUCGAAAUGCGCACAGUGUCGCCUUUUUCCGGAUGUACGUGUUGGGCGAUUUCAUAAGGCGCUCCACCUCGCUAGCCAGAUCACGUGCCAUCUCCGGCGACGCAAUGGCGCCCAGGGUGCACAGCGCCAAUCCAACCACAAACUGCGUCGAGCUGUUCAAGUCGCUGGAAAAAGUAUAAAUACAAAUAACGUUAUUAUAUAGUUGAGCGUGCUAAUAAAUAAUUAAAUGAAUGAAUAGUUUAA
This is a long non-coding RNA of Drosophila montana, 981 nucleotides long. RefSeq lists it as uncharacterized. NCBI's taxonomy places the organism in Eukaryota, Metazoa, Arthropoda, Insecta, Diptera, Drosophilidae. The record is from RefSeq and is a predicted model, not a curated record. The transcript is spliced from 2 exons.